Molecule: unclassified non-coding RNA, 470 nt
Filed under: Homo sapiens (human)
Lineage: Eukaryota; Metazoa; Chordata; Mammalia; Primates; Hominidae
Description: BDP1 general transcription factor IIIB subunit (ENSG00000273873.4)
Source: RNAcentral
AAGGUUCUUAAUGAAUGUCUAAGGUAAGCAUCAUUUUGUUGAUAUAUAAUCUUUGGAUUUUGUAAAAAGUUUUAGAACUCAAUCAGUUUUUUAAAGCAGAAGCAAUUUAGAUGGAUUUGUUGUCUGCGUGUCUAGUUAUGUAGUGUUUAAAAAUAUAACUUCACCUUUCAAGAAAGUUUAUGUUGUAGCCUUUAUGUGAAUUUCUCAGAUGGUUUGAAGAAAGCUACUCAUCGUAAAUUAGUACUUGAGUUAACAUGAAUAGCCUUAUCACUUUAUUUUAUUUUAUUUUACUUUUUAUUUUUUGAGACGGAGUUUCACUCUUCUUGCCUGGGCUGGAGUAUAAUCUCAGCUCACUGCAACCACUGCUUCCCAGGAGAAUUGCUUGAACCCGGGAAGCGGAGGUUGCAGUGAGCUGAGAUCGUGCCACUGCACUCCAGCCUGGGAGACAGAGCGAGACUCUAUCUCAAAAA